This is a long non-coding RNA of Lutra lutra (Eurasian river otter), 5327 nucleotides long. RefSeq lists it as uncharacterized. The transcript has 13 exons. Lineage: Eukaryota; Metazoa; Chordata; Mammalia; Carnivora; Mustelidae. The record is from RefSeq and is a predicted model, not a curated record.
UAGGUGUAGUCAACAAAAUCCGUUGCAUGAAUGGUGGCCACGGUGACUUCCAUGUCUACCUUGACCCGAGACUUCGCAUCGAAAAUGGAAACCUCAGAAGGAAGCCUCUGCCAAAGGUGAUCAGACAGAGCUCACCCACGGCCACACCUCAUCAGACCCUAUUCAUUCACCCCUCCUGGACCCAAGUGAUUUACAGUGACAGAUCUGCUGUGGACUCCUUGAAGUGGAUCACUCUUUGAUUCUAAAAAACACAGAGGGAAACACAGUCCAUUCUUCCAGUUCUUGCAGUGGAAAGAGAGGUCUAGGAAUGAUAGGUGCUGUAUCCAGAACAUGACCACGGGGGGACGCCUGGAGGACGAGAGGAAGUGCGCAGAUGAUGACAGAGCUGGAGAAAGCGGGUCCCAGAUAGCAUGGCUUCAGCUCUCUGAAGAUUAGGGGAAGACGAUGGCUGAUCUGGGGCAUUUUCACUGAGGACAAAAACGAGACAGAUUAUGCUUUGGAGACUUCUUCCUGGAGGAGGCAACUCCCAUUUUUUACAAGGCGUCACUGAGAAUGAAGUCCUCCACUUAGAAUUUUACACACCUGAUGAAGAAGUUUUCCCGGAUUGGCUUCUGGCUCUACCUCUUAAGCCUUGCUUCCCCUCCACAGGUCACAUACUUCCAAAGUCAGGUUCCUGAAGCCUGUGCCUCCGCUUCCAUGAGACCAGAUGGAAAAAUAAGAUCUAGGACAAGAAGCAGAGGGGGCUAAGACAACACCUUAGGAAGGCAGCAAGCCCCUCCCUCCAUCUGAUGUCUAGAAUAUGUGGAAGAGCAAACAUACUAAGCACCUCCUGCUUUCCAGAUUUAGGCUGACUGCACUCAGCUUUCUAAUACAACAGCCCAGCCUUCUCCAGUGAUACUGCAGGCACACAGACUGAGCCCCUGUCUGCUAGACCUCUGCCAUCUUUGCUGCCUCCCUCCCAACCUUCAGUCCUGGAACACUCCCCCUGGCUUCCGAACCCACAGAACCUUGAAGCAGCUUGCAGCUUGGAAGACUCCUCGAACGGGAACAAUCAGCGCUUAUAAGCCCGCGUGGGCCGGAUCCAGCUACAGCACUGUUAGGGUGACAGACUCUGAUCACUGCCCCGGGACCACGGCUGGAGGACUCGCCCACCACGGAGCAUCCACACGCCAGGAUGGCAGGCUUGGGCCUCAAACUUGCUCCAGUUCUGGUGUCCGAGAAAAUGGAGGGAGUCUGGCCCGCCGGAGGAUCUUCCUCUCUCCCAUCAGACUGGAGGCUGCGGAUGCUCCCGGACAGGCGUUAUGCCAGCCCUGAGACCGUUCCCCCUGCCCCCUGGCAGGAAUGAGGCCGGGCCACCACACAUGGUCACUUGCUUGUGUUGUGAUUGUCUGCAUCCAGCUUGUCGCCCCGAUCCCUGGAAAUCUCGCAGGUGCAUGUUGCUGUGAGAGUGUGGGCUGAAAGGGCCAAAAGGAGGGAACUGAAUUCCCUGAACUCAGCUUGUAAAUCCCUGGAAUGAAGAAAGCAAGGCUUCAGAAAUGGAAGAUAAUCAGCCAUGCAAGAAACACGGGAACGGUGUUGAAACCUGUGCUUGGAGCCUCUGCUGGGUCCUUCUGAGGGAAGCAGGUGAUUCUGAAGCAUUCUGGAGGUGGAGAGCCGGUGGUGGAGAGGUUUAAGUGCAUGGAUUCUGGAGCGUGACUGCGUUUGAAUCCUGGUGGGUCAGUACAAGUCCACAGGAUUCGGCUUGCAACAGAUGUCUGCCUUCUCCUGAAGAGAAAAGCUGCACGAUGAUUUCCUUUGCCUGUAUUCUCAGCACUUACCAAGGGUGGAUAUGUAGGUUUUCAAAAUAGGUUGAGUGACAUCUCCAAGGUCCUACAGAUGGCAAACAGCAAAAUGGAGAUUCAAAUCCAGGUCCCUGAAUCUGAAGGUCACUUGAUGGGCUCUCAUUCCACAACCCCAGCUGCCUGCCCCUGCUCGUGCUCCCAUUCCCCGGCAGGCCUGGAGCCUCUUCCACCAGAUAAAGAUCAUGAGAUGCUGACAUGUUCAUUUAUAUAAUACAUGAAGAAACCGGAAAAGAGCACCAAAACUUGUCAUGGAACACUCAGCAGGAAAGUUGGAAAAGGUGAAAAUGUGGACCAAGUAUGAUACCAUGAAUUAAAGUGAAACAAUCAUCUUUAUGAAGAAAGAAGAUUAAACAAUAUACAAGAACUCACAGAGGAGGAGACACUAGAGGAAAUACCAUUGAUCUGAGAGAGAGAAUGAGCAUGCAUGAUUAGGGGGCGAAGAGGAAGAGGGACAAGCAGACUCCGUACUGAGUGUGGAGCCCGACGCAGGCCUUGAUCUCACAACCCUGAGAUCAUGUUCUGAGCCAAAACCAAGAGUCAGACACUUAACCCACUGAGCCACCCAGGCACCCCCCAGUUGCUAGAUAAGUUUUGACUCCAAAAGCCCCCUGUGGGACUUCACUCUGCAAGUAUGCAUAAAUGUGCAUUUGAAGUAACCUAUAUACGGCUAUCCAUUACAUUACUUGAAAGAGCAAAAGGCUGAAAAUAACUGACAUGUCUAUGGUUAAAUCAAUUAUAGUACAUCUGCCCGAUGAAAAACUCUUAACAGCUACAUGUAUGAGACCCAAGGAUUUCUAAGAUAAGUUAAGAAACUGAAGUGUAUCAUAUGCUACUAUCUGUGCUAAAAGGGAGAAACUGAGAAGCUGAACUUGUUACUUCAAGAUACAUCAAGAACCCUUCAAGGAUAUACAAGAAACUAGUAAGAAUAGCCUGUUUUAUGGAGAGGGGCAGCUGGACAGGUAGUAGCCAGAACGGGAGGGAGAAUUCCUGUAUUCCUUGAAAUACUCUUCCAUCUGUACCUCCUUGGAAAAUUAAAGUCUGCUCCUUGUCUGUCUCCCCCACAAAGCCCUCUGUCUCCUCAGCGCUGAGCCCAAGGCCCAAAACCACAGGUGUCCAGGUGAGUUUUGCUGACCAGAAGAACACAUGAACAAAGCAAGGAACAGAUGCAGCGCUGGGGGAGGGCCCCAGGUGGGAAAAGGCCCCAGUGCUGUGACUGCGGAAGUCCUGGGAGCCGUGCAACUCAGGAGAGUGCGUGCCACCCCAUCACUUCCAACGCCACGUGUUAACGUUUCCUUUUUAACCUGAAGGGGAAAAGCAAUCCCUAAACUCUGGAUUUUUUAAAUCAACACAAUCUAUGUGCUAGUCUCUAUCCUGCCCUGUGAUCAAUCCCAGCACUCCCUGAGUCAGACACUCCAGGGGGUGCAGAGAUGAUGAAGAUGCUGCCCCUGCCUGGCGUGCAGCCUCCCCUCUCCUUAUUUGUAAAAGGAGAGCGUGUUCCCUCCACUGAGUUAGUAGAAUUUUAAUGAUGAAGACCCAAGCUGCUUUCUGUCCCCAAACGCUCUUUCCUAGAGAACCAAGGUUUGGUUCAAUUAUGUGUUUAUCUGUAGCAUCUUCCCAACACCCUCCAGGAGGACCUGAAUGCCCCCCUCUGGGGCAUCCCCAGGGCCUCCAACUUCCAGUUCCGCUUUUCCACGCUACGCCAUAACCUGUUUUGUUCCUUUGGGACCUUGAGAGCCGACGUGGCAAGGAUUCUGCAGUCGUCCCAAGUGUAAUUAUCCCCAGUUCCUGGCAGAGUGUCUGGUUACCAGUACGCAAGGAUGUAUGUUUGCUGAGGCACCACGAAAAUAACAGGAGUACCCGGAGCUCUGUGACGACAGUGCCCCCACCACCCUACAAACACCAAGAAUAAGCAUGAUGAACAGGUCAAGUAACAAAGUGGCUGGUCAUGUGCCACUGAGGACGGAUGUAGGGGAGAGCCCUAACUACCACCGAGACAAGUAACUCCCAGCCAAAAGAAGACCGGACUGCAUGGGGGGAAGAGGCAGGAGACAUGCAUGCGAGCCUGACUCAAUUACGAUGAGUGUAUGUGGAGACACAUACUGUGUCCAUGAAGCCUCAGGAGGCCUGAGAAGGUGAUCCUAUUCUCCACUUCACAUUGGAGAAUACCAAGACAGUCGUGUGGGAGACCUUGCCCAUUCUCAUCUCCAGUGCCCCCAACACACACACACACACACACACAAAGGCCAAGGCUGGCCUUUGAACCCUGGACCGAAUGACUCAAGCCAGGCUCUUCCUUCUACCCACGCUGACUUGCAUAUGGGAAAGGAUGGCCUGAUUCUCCUGGCACAAAUACCACACACACUCCCUUGCUCCAAGCAAAGGAAUUAUAAGGAAGCCUGGCAGCUCUGAGUUCAAGUGUCAAUAGGCUGAAAUGAGGCCCAUGGGCUUUCAGACUGGCACUAACCCAACUACGAACACAGCGGCCUAUAGCCAGCAGUCCCUGGCAUCCUAUUUUCCUGUUUCUUUGUAUGUUGUGACUGAGAGAUGCUCUUGAACGAGCCCACACACCUGGCUGGUUUCACCACUGGCUUCUCACUCCUAUCUGCAUAGUUACCACUAAGUAAUUUCGUUUAUCUGUGUCUCCGUGAGCUUAUUUGGAAACCAUGGAACGCUGCUUACAGAAAAUUAAGCUUCAUUUUCUUUAAGCACCAGCCACUAGUGCAGGCAGGAGACGGUGAUUUGGAGGUAACUGGCUUAUGCAUAUGCAAACAUGAUGCACUUAGCAAAUUAUGUAGACUUCACACUUCAGAGCACUGAAGAAAACAAAAGUACCUCCGAAAGAAAUUCUAGCACGACAGAGUCAUUCUGAAAAGAAUAGAGAGACAUUGGUUUGUGAAAACUGUUGGACUCAGAUACGGAUGGAAAUAAUGGUUUUUGAUGUGCAACAUGUGGUGGCCACAAGCCCACUGUGAACAGGUCUCAUUUUAAGUGGUGUUAAGGCAUCUCGAAGGACUUCCAAGAAUUAAAGCCCACGGCAUGCCUUGAGAUUGAAUUCAUGGUGUGAUGAAGCUGCACAUUUCCAACUCAGUUCCACUAUAACUCUUCUGCCUCACACAAUUUCCCAGCAUACGUUUUUCUUCUUGGGCCUAGAGAGAGAAUUCUAGGACGACCUCGAGCUCAAACAGCAUAGCAACCAUUGAACCUGCCGUCUGGGCCACACCUACCCUGUUCGGCUUCAGUCUCUUCCAAGAUGUCACUGGCAACACAAGGUGCUGGAGAGGUGAUCACGAGUCUCCCUCCGCUGAGAGUCACCUUACAAGCCAGUGUGGUGGACUUGAGGGCUGCUGGGUGGGAUGGGAGAGAGUCCUGGGCCCGAGGGCUUCUAGUCUGCACACGGUCUGUCUGCAGGCAUUGCCUCUCUAACUGAUCUGUGGUGCUCUGCUGGCCAGCUGUCACCUGUGCAGGAAGGUGGCACCCAUGCAGCUC